Small nuclear RNA from Papio anubis (olive baboon), 107 nucleotides. The record is from Ensembl. Lineage: Eukaryota; Metazoa; Chordata; Mammalia; Primates; Cercopithecidae.
GUGCUCACUUUGGCAGCACAUAUACUGUAAUUGGAAACAUACAGAGAAGAUUAGCAUGGCCUCUGGGCAAGGAUGACAUGCAAAUUCAUGAAACAUUACAUAUUUUU